GUUUUUAAUUGAGAUCUUGGAUGAAGGGUAGAUUCUAAGGAGAAUGUUUUAGUUUAAAAGUUUGAAUUUAAAUUAAAAGUAAAAAUGCUUUUGUAAAUUCUUGGGACAAGAAGACCCUAGAAGUUUAUUUAAAUGAUUUUGGUUGGGGUAACGGUUGAAGAAAAGAAUUUUUAAGAUAUAUUCAUGAAAAGUUAUAAAAAUUACUCUAGGGAUAACAGCGUUAUUUAAUUAGUAAGUUCUUAUUUAUAAUUAAGUUUGCGACCUCGAUGUUGAAUUAAAUUUUGGUAUAAUGAAGAAUUUAUAUAUAGUUAGUCUGUUCGACUAUAAAAAGUUUACGUGAUCUGAGUUCAGACCGGA
RNAcentral lists this ribosomal RNA (357 nucleotides) under Tricommatinae sp. MZSP 73202. RNAcentral's name for it is "partial large subunit ribosomal RNA". The stretch from base 104 to 357 matches the Rfam family "Bacterial large subunit ribosomal RNA", at positions 2078 to 2620 of the family's 2925-position model. The record is from RNAcentral. Lineage: Eukaryota; Metazoa; Arthropoda; Arachnida; Opiliones; Gonyleptidae.